RNAcentral lists this ribosomal RNA (1564 nucleotides) under Planctomycetota bacterium. RNAcentral's name for it is "bacterial SSU rRNA". It matches the Rfam family "Bacterial small subunit ribosomal RNA". The record is from RNAcentral. Lineage: Bacteria; Pseudomonadati; Planctomycetota.
AAACUGAAGGGUUUGAUACUGGCUCAGAACGUACGCUGACGGAAUGGAUUAGGCAUGCAAGUCGAACGAGCGAACUCUUCGGAGUGAGCUAGUGGCGAACGGGUGAGUAAUGCGUGGAUGACCUGCCCUGAUGAGGGGGRCAACCAUUCGAAAGGAUGGCUAAUACCGCAUACGGUCGCCAGGUUUUCCUGGUGAUCAAAGCUGGCUUAGGCUUCGGCUUAGGCAGGCGCUUCAGGAGGGGUUCACGUGCUAUUAGUUUGUUGGUGGGGUAACGGCCUACCAAGACUAUGAUGGCUAGCCGGCCUGAGAGGGUGUCCGGCCACACUGGGACUGAGACACUGCCCAGACUCCUACGGGAGGCUGCAGUCGAGAAUCUUCCACUAAUGCGCGAAAGCGUGAUGGAGCAAUUCCGUGUGAGCGAUGAAGGCCUUAGGGUUGUAAAGCUCUGUUGGAGGGGCGUAAUCCCUGGGAGAGAAUAUCUUUCCAGGUUGAACUCCCCUCGGAGGAAGCAGCGGCUAAAUUCGUGCCAGCAGCCGCGGUAAUACGAAUGCUGCAAGCGUAGUUCGGAAUCACUGGGCAUAAAGGGCACGUAGGCGGCCUGUUAAGUCUGCUGUGAAAUCCCUCGGCUCAACCGAGGAACUGCAGCUGAUACUGACUGGCUUGAGUACGGGAGGGGAGAGCGGAAUUCCUGGUGGAGCGGUGAUAUGCGUAGAUAUCAGGAGGAACGCCGGUGGCGAAAGCGGCUCUCUGGACCGUUACUGACGCUGAGGUGCGAAAGCUAGGGGAGCAAACAGGAUUAGAUACCCUGGUAGUCCUAGCCGUAAACGAUGGGUACUAAGUGGGGGGGCUCCCAAGGCCUCCCUGCCGUAGCAAAUGUGUUAAGUACCCCGCCUGGGGAGUAUGGUCGCAAGGCUAAAACUCAAAGUAAUUGACGGGGGCUCACACAAGCGGUGGAGCAUGUUGUUUAAUUCGAUGCAACGCGAAGAACCUUACCUGGGCUUGACAUUCAUGUGGUACCAAACCGAAAGGGGCGGGACCGUCUUUUGGCGGAGCAUGAACAGGUAUUGCAUGGCUGUCGUCAGCUCGUGUCGUGAGAUGUUGGGUUAAGUCCCGUAACGAGCGCAACCCUUAUCCUUAGUUGCCAGCGAGUAAUGUCGGGGACUCUAAGGAGACUGCCGGUGUCAAACCGGAGGAAGGCGGGGACGACGUCAAGUCAUCAUGGUCCUUACGCCCAGGGCCACAAACGUGCUACAAUGGUCGGUACAAAGGGCAGCAAACCCGUGAGGGUAAGCAAAUCCCAAAAAGCCGGCCCCAGUUCGGAUUGAAGGCUGCAAUUCGCCUUCAUGAAGUCGGAAUCGCUAGUAAUCGCAGAUCAGCCAUGCUGCGGUGAAUGUGUUCCUGAGCCUUGUACACACCGCCCGUCAAGCCACCCAAAUGGUCCGCACCCGUAGUCGCUACCCUAACCGUAAGGAGGGGGGCGCCGAAGGUGAGGGUCGUGAGGGGGACUAAGUCGUAACAAGGUAGCCGUAGGGGAACCUGCGGCUGGAUCACCUCCUUUCUAAGG